UACCGCAGCCAUAUCACCCUGCAGCCCAAGAGCGGUUACUCACUGAAGCUAAGCAGGGCUGAGCCUGGUCAGUGCCUGGAUGGGAGACCACUAGGGAACACUAGGUUGCUGUUGGCA
This 117-nucleotide ribosomal RNA is filed under the name Danio rerio (zebrafish). Lineage: Eukaryota; Metazoa; Chordata; Actinopteri; Cypriniformes; Danionidae. The record is from RNAcentral.